RNAcentral lists this ribosomal RNA (484 nucleotides) under uncultured bacterium. Its description in RNAcentral is "bacterial SSU rRNA". It matches the Rfam family "Bacterial small subunit ribosomal RNA", at positions 899 to 1397 of the family's 1533-position model. The record is from RNAcentral.
ACUCAAAUGAAUUGACGGGGACCCGCACAAGUGGUGGAGCGUGUUCUUUAAUUCGAAGCUAAGCGAAGAACCUUACCAGGGCUUGACAUCCUUGGAAUCUCUCCGAAAGGAGAGAGUACUUUAUUGGACCAAGUGACAGGUGUUGCAUGGCCGUCGUCAGCUCGUGUCGUGAGAUGUUUGGUUAAGUCCAUUAACGAGCGCAACCCUUAUGAUUAGUUGUAUUUUUCUAAUCAGACUGCCUCGGCAACGGGGAGGAAGGAGGGGAUGAUGUCAGGUCAUUAUUACCCUUACGUCCUGGGCUAGAAACGCGCUACAAUGGCCGGUACAAAGGGCAGCCAACCCGCGAGGGGGAGCAAAUCCCAUCAAAACCGGUCCCAGUUCGGAUUGCAGGCUGAAACUCGCCUGCAUGAAGCCGGAAUCACUAGUAAUCGUAGGUCAGCACACUACGGUGAAUACGUUCCCGGGUCUUGCACACACCGCCCGU